GAUGAACGCUGGCGGCGUGCCUAAUACAUGCAAGUCGAGCGAACAGACGCGGCGCUUGCUCCUCUGACGUUAGCGGCGGACGGGUGAGUAACACGUGGAUAACCUCCCUAUAAUACUGGGAUAACUUCGGGAAACCGGAGCUAAUACCGGAUAAUAUCUUGAACCGCAUGGUUCAAUAGUGAAAGACGGUUUUGCUGUCACUUAUAGAUGGAUCCGGGCCGCAUGAGCUAGUUGUUAAGGUAACGGGUUACCAAGGCAACGAGGGGUAGCCGACGGGAGCGGGGGGUCGCCGGCCCGGGAGCGUGAACGGCGUCAAGGCGACUAAGAGACGGAGCAGAAGGCUACGGGACGCAGUAGUCGAGAACAUGGCGGAAUGGGGGGGAGCGUGAGGUAGAGAUCUUCGGAGCGUGAUACUCUGUUAUGAGGGAUGAACAAAUGUGUAAGUAACUAUACACGUCGUGACGGUACCUGAUCAGGAAGCACCGGCUAACUACGUG
RNAcentral lists this ribosomal RNA (497 nucleotides) under uncultured bacterium. RNAcentral describes it as "partial 16S ribosomal RNA". It matches the Rfam family "Bacterial small subunit ribosomal RNA", at positions 28 to 507 of the family's 1533-position model. The record is from RNAcentral.